GACAGUUUGGCCGAGUGGUCUAAGGCGCUGGCUUCAGGCGCCUGUCCGGAAGGGCGUUGGUUCGAACCCCACAGCUGUUA
This 80-nucleotide transfer RNA is filed under the name Perkinsus olseni. RNAcentral's name for it is "tRNA-Leu". It matches the Rfam family "tRNA". Rfam says of the family: Transfer RNA (tRNA) molecules are approximately 80 nucleotides in length. Their secondary structure includes four short double-helical elements and three loops (D, anti-codon, and T loops). Further hydrogen bonds mediate the characteristic L-shaped molecular structure. tRNAs have two regions of fundamental functional importance: the anti-codon, which is responsible for specific mRNA codon recognition, and the 3' end, to which the tRNAs corresponding amino acid is attached (by aminoacyl-tRNA synthetases). tRNAs cope with the degeneracy of the genetic code in two manners: having more than one tRNA (with a specific anti-codon) for a particular amino acid; and 'wobble' base-pairing, i.e. permitting non-standard base-pairing at the 3rd anti-codon position. The record is from RNAcentral. Lineage: Eukaryota; Perkinsozoa; Perkinsida; Perkinsidae.